CCCUAGCUGUGGGUAGUAAGUCCAGUUAUAAAUUUUUCUCCCUUCUUCUGUGGAUAAGCUGGAACAGAUCCCUGAAUUGCACUGAUACCGAAGAUGCGUGCAUUAUAGAAAAUUGUUGUCAAGCACCUUAGUGGCCAUUUUGAACCUCAAAGCUCAGAGGAAGCUAAAGGUUUGCCACUUGAAAAAGGGAACUGAGAUCUGCAACUACAGCUACUCCAAUAAGAUAGUGGCUGUGGAGCUCCAAAGGCAAAGGCUAAUAGCGUGCCUGGGAGAUCCUUUGCACUUCCACAACAUUUGGGACUUGAAGGUACUGCCUGGGAUCAGGAGAUCCUCCAAGCCCUGCAGGCUUGUGAGCACUACCAAU
Molecule: long non-coding RNA, 364 nt
Filed under: Homo sapiens (human)
Lineage: Eukaryota; Metazoa; Chordata; Mammalia; Primates; Hominidae
Description: non-protein coding lnc-MPPE1-11:1
Source: RNAcentral